Molecule: long non-coding RNA, 1376 nt
Filed under: Struthio camelus australis
Lineage: Eukaryota; Metazoa; Chordata; Aves; Struthioniformes; Struthionidae
Description: lncRNA (ENSSCUG00000013501.1)
Source: RNAcentral
GGCUGAGAAGCAGCCCUGCUGAAAAUGACACGAGGACUGGAAAAAGCCCUAAGCAAUCUGUGAUUUUCCUAUAGAAAAGGAAAUAUAAUAUGUUGGCUAUGUCACCUCAUUGAGGUCCAUGUACUUUUUGUGCAGAAGCCAGAAAGUACUAUCAGUGUUUACACAAAGGUUGUUCUACAGUCGCACUAACACCUCCCUAUCAACUCCUUCAUCCAGGCAACUGAGCCACGUUCACUCCACAAGCCUUUUGGCAAAAACUCCAACCAACGAACUGGUGUGUGAAAAGGAGGAACUGCUGGUAGAGACGUACUGCUGGAGGUGCCACCCAGUUGGAGACUACAAAUAAUUGAUUGAAGUCUCUCCGAAAUGAUGAGUCAGUUUUAGCCACUAGCACAUCUACAUCAAAUGCAAGAUCUACAAGCCAGAGUUUGCAGCGAUUUGCUUUGCAACGUUGGGUGUUUGUCCAGAUUACUCCCUGUUCAGCCUGCUGAAUUCAAAAUUUCUGCUGUGUGUGACUAUCAUCCUUAUCCCUGGAGCGCGCAUGUUGCCAUGUGUUCACAAGAGAAAACACAAUGUCAGAGAAAUGCUUCGUGGAGUCAGAGUGGAAGGUGUAACGAUUGUAAUGGUCCUCAGAAAUAGCAGGAGUUCCUCAGACCCCCAGAGAAUGUCUUCAAAUAGAACACUAUUAAAACAUUGUAAAGACAAAAGAGAUGAAGAGCAAAGAAGCUGCUGAGUGUCAUUUAAAAAGAAAAUGUGUCUUGGGAUUUAGAAAGUGCCAAGCAAAUUACAGAAAAAUGGAGAGCAGAAGUGAAGGAGUAGCUGGAACCCAUGAUGAAUGAAGCCAGUGGAGAGGUAUAAAACAAGGAGCAGACUGCCAAGAGGUGAGAGAGAUAUGGAAGAAAACCAAUGCUGAGUCCUGAAGCUCAGUUUAGAGACCUCCAGGAACUCAGAACAGGACUGAUGGGAUCCUGCCUGCUGGACUGGCCUGGGUUCGAGUUUCUGUAAUCUUUGCACUUAGCAAAUACAGCAUCUGUAAGACUACAAUAUAGGAAUGAGAGCAACAGAUAAGGGUAGUGAUUAAAAAUGUGAAUUCAGCAGAGGUAAAAAAAUUGACAGGCUAAGACAAAUGCUUAUGAUGCCCAAGCAGACGUGAUUAGGAAGGUCCUUGCUAGCACUGAAAUGCUUUAAUUGCUCUCCAAGAGAUGAUCACAGUUAUGUUUUACUUUUAGUUAAAGUUUUCAUUUCAGCUUUGCAUCAGCAAUACAUAUCAAAGUGAUGGUGAGUGGUUUAGGCAUAUUGUUUUUUUCUCAAUGGCCACUUCCCAUUUGACUUCCAUCGUUGUUCUAGAGUAAUUUGCAGAACAGCAAUUGUGAGGA